Long non-coding RNA from Lathyrus oleraceus (garden pea), 5646 nucleotides. RefSeq lists it as uncharacterized. The transcript is spliced from 2 exons. Lineage: Eukaryota; Viridiplantae; Streptophyta; Magnoliopsida; Fabales; Fabaceae. The record is from RefSeq and is a predicted model, not a curated record.
UCAACACUCGUCUGUGUUAAUCAUUUCUUUGUCAAUACUCGUCCGUAUUGAUUUUCAACACUCGUUCGUGUUAAUAAUGUAUUUGUCAAUACUCGUCCGUAUUGAUUUUCAACACUCAUCCGUGUUAAUCAUUUCUUGUUUCAAUGCUCGUCAGUAUUGAUCUUCGACACCCGUCUAUGUUGAUCAUUAUCUUUCAAUACUCGUCCGUAUUGAUCUUCGACACUCGUCCAUGUUAAUCAUUAUCUUUCAAUACUCGUCCGUAUUAAUCUUCAACACUCGUCCGUGUUAAUCAUUUUUUUAUCAAUACUCGUCCGUAUUGAUUUUCAACACUCGUCCGUGUUAAUCAUUUCUUUGUCAAUACUCGUCCGUAUUGAUUUUCAAUACUCGUCCGUGUUAAUCAUUUCUUUGUCAAUACUCGUCCGUAUUGAUUUUCAACGCUCGUCCGUGUUAAUCAUUUCUUUGUCAAUACUCGUCCGUAUUGAUUUUCAACACUCGUCCAUGUUAAUCAUUUCUUUGUCAAUACUCAUCCGUAUGGAUUUUCAACACUCGUCCAUGUUAAGCAUUUCUUUGUCAAUGCUCGCCCGUAUUGAUCUCCAACACUCGUUCGUGUUGUUAACUUGUUUCACUACUCGUACGUAUUGAUCUCCAACACUCGUCCAUGUUGUUAACUUGUUUCACUACUCGUCCAUAUUGAUCUUCUACACUCGUCCGUGUUAACCUGUUUCAAUACUCGUCUGUAUUGGUCUUCAACAUCCGUCUGUGUCAAUAAUUUCAUUUUUUUGAUACUCGUCUGUAUUGACUCCCAACACUUGUCUGUGUUAUUACCUUUCUCAUUUCGAUACUCGUCUGUAUUGACCCAACACUCGUCCAUGUUGGUACCUUUCUUUCUCAAUGUUCGUCUGUAUUGAUCUUUAACACUCGUCUGUGUUAAUCAUUAUCUUUCAAUACUCGUCCGUAUUGAUCUUCAACGCUUGUCCGUGUUAAUCAUUAUAUUUUAAUACUCGUCCAUAUUGAUCUUUAACACUUGUCCGUGUUAAUCAUUAUCUUUCAAUACUCGUUCGUAUUGAUCUCCGACAUUCAUCCGUGUUGUCACCAUAUUCCAAUACUCGUCCGUGUCGGUCUUCGACACUCGUCCGUGUUAAUCAUUUCUUUUUCAAUGCUUAUUGACCCCUGACACUUGUCCGUGUUAAUCAUUACUUCUUCCAAUACUUGUCCGUAUUGAUUUUUAAUGCUCGUCUGUAUUGAUUUUUGAUACUCGUUCGUAUGGAAUUGAUUCACUCGUCCGUAUUGGUCCUCUUUUCAGUACCCAUUGUAUUGAUCGCAACGCUCGUCCGUGUUGUUAAAUCCCUUUCGAUAUCUACUUGUAUUGGUAUCCAUCACUCGUCUGUGUGGACCUCACCCUCCUUCUUAAACUUAUGUUCGGGAGACCUUUUCUAGUACAUAGGAUACGUUGCUACCUGUUGUGCGAGAAGAUCAUAUAUCCCUAGCAAGACACCUCAUUUGCCUUCGCAGAAUCUUGCGGGAACACCUCGAUCACCUAUUACAUGGCAAAACUUGAUGGCUGAGGCAAGAAAAGAGAAAAGGAGAAAAGAAUGAAAAAUAUGAAAAAGAAAAAAAAAGCUAAGAGAAGGACAAAAAAGAGAUCAACAUACAUAACAUAUUACGUAUAGCAUGCAUGACUUCAUAAAGCAUCUCAUUGAAUAACUUCCUACAAUACCUUACAUCACACUCAUUUCACUCAUUCCCUGCGGGAAAAUUUCGUGGUUAUUUUAAGUAUUUAAUCCUCUCCUACCGUGAAAGUUUGAAAGCAGUUGUUAUUCUUGCCUUCAGGUCCGAGAAGAUUAAAUAGGGGCAGCUGUCAUAUCCCAACAUUUGCCCUCCUUUUCGCUUGUUCGUCUGGCUAUAACUUGAGAUUCGUCUAACCUCAUUCAUAUUCAUUCAUGUGCAUUCAUUCAUUCAUGAUUAACACCGACUGACAGGUAUCAGGGGUUCGGGGAUUGUAGUUGAUAAAGUCGGAGUUGGAUUGAAGGUUGUGGCAUUACACAUCAUAUCGAUUGAAACCUUGAUUCACGACUUUGAUAGUCGAAGGUCUUGUGUACGAACAAUUGCGUGGUCGAUGUUCGCCUGAAUUGAUUCAUGGCAUUGACAUAAUUCGUUUGGUUCAGGAUGUUGUGGUCCAUAUUCAUUUGGCCAGGAGAAAAUAUGCAUUUUUGAUCAACUGUUGACUUUUUGGUCAACCAGUUGACCAAAGUUAACCAUCAAUCUCCGAAACUUUAAUCAUGUGAUCCGUAAUCGUCCCGUCAUUUUCAGAUUAAUUCUAAAAGUUAUGGAUGAAUUCUAAAGAUUCAAAUUUGAUUUAAUUCAACAUUUGAUUUCUUGAGAUUUAAAUCGACUUUUGAGAAUUAUUUCGAUUUCGUAAUCAUUCAUCGUUUUCUUUAACCGAUUAAUCUUAGAAGUGACGUUGUUUUUAAGCACAAAUUAAUCGUGACAUUUUAUUUUAGUUAUUAGAAUUUCAUUUUUUGAUUUCACUAACAUCCAAUUAAUGAUUCAUCCAUAUCCAAUUCAAAAUCCAUUUAAUAAACCAUAAUACUUUUUUUAUCCAUUUACCAUUUUUGAUAUCCAAUUUCAUUUUUAACAAUAAUCCAAAGUUCAUUUUAAACCAAAAUCCAUUUUUUAACCAUAAUCCAUUUAUCCAACACAUCCAUUUAUAACUCAAGCUCAAUAUUUACAAACAAAAAAGUAAAAAAUAAAGUGCAGGAAGGGAAAUGCAUAAUACUGCUGCCAACAAGCUACAGAAAAGAGCUUCCGAAUGAACCAAUCUACAACUCAAACAAAAGAUGUAGUACAAGCUACCAAAGUGAAGCCCGAAGCCUGUUGCAACUUAAACAACACAGCAUACGAAACGCACAGCAGUGAACGACGCACAAGACAAACAAAAGAUGCAGGCUAAAUGCAAAAAGAUGCAAGCCAAACGCUGCAAAAAUAACUUGAAACGCAGCAGGCCAAAAGUGAAAGCUGUAGAAACUCAACUCGAAAACGGUAAGUGACGCAUCCGAAAUGCCGGUUGAAGUUGCAAGCCAAGCCAAACUGCAACAAGUAACACAGAGACAAACCAAUAACAGAACGGCAAAAUGAAGCUACGCAGCACAAACGCAGGCGCCUGAAAUGAUGAGCCAGGUCGAGCACUAUACAGCAGCUCAAGGCGAAACGCAAGAACGCAGAUUGAAAAAAAACUGCAAACAAAGCGCCAAACGAGCCAUAAGCUGCAAUGAAAAAUCCAAACAGAAAUGGGAAGCCACAACUAGUACAAAACGACAGGGAAAAAAAAGAGAAGCUGCAUAAGCUGCAGUACAACCAAAGCCUAAGCAACUGCAACAACGCACUGUGAGACCAAAGCUACAAGCUAGCACGCACAGCUGAUGCAAGCCACACUGAAAACGGCAACGAAGUUAAUAUCCAAUCCAAACUGCAGCUCACGCACAAGCUAACGCUUCUAAAUAAGAGCAACUUCCAACAACUCACAAACCAUAAGCUAUGGAACAACACACAAUACAAAAGCUAUACAAAUGAAAGUAUGAUCACAAGGGAGGCUAGACCAAUUGCCAAAAGUCCAGGAGACAAGGUUAUCAAUGGAACAAUCAAUGAGAAUGGUUGCUUGUUGGUUAAAGCUCCACAUGUUGGAUCAGGCACUUUCCUUUCUCAAAUUGUUCAACUCGUAACAGCUGCAAAACAAUCGGCUACAAACCAACAAAAACGCACACGUAGCAACUAACACUCCAACCUGCAGAAUGCAAACGCAUAACCGAGUUGCAAGAUGGCCUUGCCAUAAACCUGUGCCAACGGGAGGAACUUCCGCUGCAUCCAGAUAUACACCAUAUAUUCCUAAUAGCAACCAUUCAAUUUCUCUUCCGAUUUUGGAGCAUCAAGAGUUUCUGCUCACUGUGACCCUUAUGCAUCAACCUUUAAACAACUGCAAAAUUCAAGGUCACAGCAUAACCGCAACAACAUUGAUGGAUGACUUAUAGGACGAAGACAUUGAUUCAACAACCAUUCCUUCCAAGUUGGUAUUCGGUUCUACUGCAUUCAAACAACCUAACAGCCAAGACCGUAAGCAAGGUCAGAAGGAAAGAAGUGGAGUAAAGGGUGCAGCGCUAUAUGCAUUGAGUUGGAGGAAAGAAUUAUGAACCGUUUGCUGCAAGACAGGCGAGAUGGACGAGUCAGAAUCAUAUUACGGUUGCCGAAUGAAUGCAUAGAACAAGUUGCGGUCAUGGAGCUAAACCCCACGCAAAUGAAUGCAACGGCACCGAAACCGAACCUGCAUCCGUCAGGCCUGCAGCAAUAUCUUAUGGAUAACCGAAAAUCACCCUGCAAAAGCAAGAUUGGGGUUAACCAGCUGAAGAACUGAACCGAAAUUCAUCAGACACCAUAUGAACUGCAGACCAGUACCUGACCGCAUAACCAUCAUCAUGAUCCCCUUCGAUACAGUAGCCAUUGAAUAUCAAGCAAGUCUCAAAAGGCCUAAUGCAAGUCAGUAAGCCAUUUGCAGGAAAUGUUCAAUAAACCACAAAGGACCGUGCAUGUUAAUUCAUUCAGUGGCACACAAAAUUGGACACAAAUCAGAUUGAAUGCAACAGCUUACUAAUUGAACCAUUCAAAAAGAAAGCAAACCUAAGAUGAGUGUCCUACAAGCUGAACUAAUGGUCAUGGAGUUGGGUCCAAGAUGAGCCAUCCAUUGCAUCAGCAUGUGUCUUGCAGAGUCUAAGUAAUGCAACAGUUAUUCAAGACAAGCAUUCAGUUCAUGAUCAAAAGGCAAACAGUUCAGAUAAGGAAUCAAAGCCAAUCCCAAUGCAAUUCGGUGCAGAUAUCCACAGUUGGAUAGAAAAUCAGACAAAGGAAUUAAAGAAUAAAGAGCACGUGUUUUAUUCACCCCAGUCCCGCGUGACUCAUUUUUCCUACCAUCUCAUUUGUUAUCAGAUUUUUGUAAAUGCAUUUUAAUCACAACUGCCAGCUAGACAAGUAAAAACGUGACAACUCAGAUGCCAUUCCCCAAACUACCCUCUUGGAUCACACUAUAAAUAGGGCAAUCAUUGCCAAUCAUUGGAUGCGAAUUAUUCUGAUCAAAACGAGUUUUGCACUCUUUCCCUAACUCUCAGUACACGCUCACUCCAUUAUUGUGAGAGCUUCAUCAUUCGAAACUCUACACGGCAGAGCUGGACCGCCAAUUAACACUCCACUCUCACCAUUGCUUUCACGUGUGGACUCGCAAGAAGAAGACAGUUUCGGAAGUAAGAAGAAGAAGAAGAGAAGCGCGAAGAAGGAGAAGAAGUGCACCUGUGCUCGGUGUCGUCGCUGUCGCGUCUCCGUCGUCGUCUCCGGCAGAACCUUUCACCAUUGCUACAUUAAAGGCAAAUAAAAAACAGUGAGAAAUGAAAUUGCUAUCCAGUACAAGUACUCCCAAUGAUAAUGGUAUCAAACAAAUAAACAUCGAAUUUAUUACAAGUACAAGGCAGAGUUUUUCUAAGACAAACAUUACUUACAUGCAUGACUUCUUAAGUACUUCCUGAACCAAGCACAGAGGCAAGUAGGAAACUGUAAUAUAACUGCUACUGAUAUCAAUGGGAUGUUAUUAACUUUGUUUUUGUUGGA